UAGGGAAUCUUCCGCAAUGGGCGAAAGCCUGACGGAGCAACGCCGCGUGAGUGAUGAAGGUCUUCGGAUCGUAAAACUCUGUUUUUAGGGAAGAACAAAUGUGUAAGUAACUAUGCACGUCUUGACGGUACCUAAUCAGAAAGCCACGGCUAACUACGUGCCAGCAGCCGCGGUAAUACGUAGGUGGCAAGCGUUAUCCGGAAUUAUUGGGCGUAAAGCGCGCGUAGGCGGUUUUUUAAGUCUGAUGUGAAAGCCCACGGCUCAACCGUGGAGGGUCAUUGGAAACUGGAAAACUUGAGUGCAGAAGAGGAAAGUGGAAUUCCAUGUGUAGCGGUGAAAUGCGCAGAGAUAUGGAGGAACACCAGUGGCGAAGGCGACUUUCUGGUCUGUAACUGACGCUGAUGUGCGAAAGCGUGGGGAUCAAACAGG
This 429-nucleotide ribosomal RNA is filed under the name Actinomycetes bacterium. RNAcentral describes it as "Actinobacteria bacterium partial 16S ribosomal RNA". It matches the Rfam family "Bacterial small subunit ribosomal RNA", at positions 355 to 776 of the family's 1533-position model. RNAcentral also lists the same sequence under 1 other name. The record is from RNAcentral. Lineage: Bacteria; Bacillati; Actinomycetota; Actinomycetes.